This 100-nucleotide transfer RNA is filed under the name Promethearchaeota archaeon. Its description in RNAcentral is "Candidatus Lokiarchaeota archaeon tRNA-Ser". It matches the Rfam family "tRNA". Rfam says of the family: Transfer RNA (tRNA) molecules are approximately 80 nucleotides in length. RNAcentral also lists the same sequence under 1 other name. Lineage: Archaea; Promethearchaeati; Promethearchaeota. The record is from RNAcentral.
GCAGGUGUAGCCUAGUGGUAAGACGCUGGCCUUGAGUGUAGACGAUACAGAGUAAGCCAGUGCGCGUGAGCGCUCGGGGGUUCAAAUCCCUCCACCUGCG